Molecule: long non-coding RNA, 285 nt
Organism: Ixodes scapularis (black-legged tick)
Lineage: Eukaryota; Metazoa; Arthropoda; Arachnida; Ixodida; Ixodidae
Exons: 3
Source: RefSeq, a predicted model, not a curated record
CAGGAAGUUCACGGAGUGCACGAUAGAUGGCGCCACCUGGAGCGGCACAUUUUGAACAGGUGCGCCUGCAAGGGAAGCUGGAGGACAAGGCUCGCUGGAAUCAACAAGCCUGUUGGGCCCGGAAACGUGCUGAGUUUCACCUAAGCUACUGCCACACCUAAGAAGUAAAGCAAGCUCGCAUGGAACGUCCUCGCGUUCCAAUGGAGGAACCGAGGUCUGCACACCUUCCAGACCGGCCCCAAGAAGAAAAAAUAACGCACAGCUCUCUAGCAGCGAAGCGAUGCG